Molecule: ribosomal RNA, 516 nt
Filed under: uncultured bacterium
Lineage: Bacteria
Description: bacterial SSU rRNA
Rfam family: Bacterial small subunit ribosomal RNA
Source: RNAcentral
UGGGGGGAACCCUGAUCCAGCCAUGCCGCGUGUGUGAAGAAGGCCUUUUGGUUGUAAAGCACUUUAAGCGAGGAGGAGGAGCUCUAGAUUAAUACUCUAGAUGCUUGGACGUUACUCGCAGAAUAAGCACCGGCUAACUCUGUGCCAGCAGCCGCGGUAAUACAGAGGGUGCAAGCGUUAAUCGGAUUUACUGGGCGUAAAGCGUGCGUAGGUGGUCUUUUAAGUCGGAUGUGAAAUCCCUGAGCUUAACUUAGGAAUUGCAUUCGAUACUGGGAGACUAGAGUAUGGGAGAGGAUGGUAGAAUUCCAGGUGUAGCGGUGAAAUGCGUAGAGAUCUGGAGGAAUACCGAUGGCGAAGGCAGCCAUCUGGCCUAAUACUGACACUGAGGUACGAAAGCAUGGGGAGCAAACAGGAUUAGAUACCCUGGUAGUCCAUGCCGUAAACGAUGUCUACUAGCCGUUGGGGUCUUUGAGACUUUAGUGGCGCAGCUAACGCGAUAAGUAGACCGCCUGGGGA